GAACGCUGGUCGGUAGCUACCACCAUGCCGAUCGACACUGGCUAGCACAUGGAGAGCUUGCUCUCUGGGUGGCGAGUGGCGGACGGGUGAGGAAUACAUCUGGAAUCUACUCUGUCGUGGGGGAUAACGUAGGGAAACUUACGCUAAUACCGCAUACGUACCUACGGGUGAAAGCAGGGUGACCUUCGGGCCUUGCGCGAUUGAAUGAGCCGAUGUCGGAUUAGCUAGUUGGCGGGGUAAAGGCCCACCAACGCGACGAUCCGUAGCUGGUCUGAGAGGAUGAUCAGCCACACUGGAACUGAGACACGGUCCAGACUCCUACGGGAGUGCAGCAGUGGGGAAUAUUGGACAAUGGGCGCAAUGCCUGAUCCAGCCAUACCGCGUGGGUGAAGAAGGCCUUCGGGUUGUAAAAGCCCUAUUAUGUCGGGAAAAGAAAUCCAGCUGGCUAAAUACCCGGUUGGGAUGACGGUUACCCCAAAGGAAUAAAGGCAACCGGGCUAACUUUCGUUGCCAGACAGCC
Molecule: ribosomal RNA, 520 nt
Filed under: uncultured bacterium
Lineage: Bacteria
Description: bacterial SSU rRNA
Rfam family: Bacterial small subunit ribosomal RNA
Source: RNAcentral